Physeter macrocephalus (sperm whale) is the source of this 4380-nucleotide long non-coding RNA. RefSeq lists it as uncharacterized. Lineage: Eukaryota; Metazoa; Chordata; Mammalia; Artiodactyla; Physeteridae. The record is from RefSeq and is a predicted model, not a curated record. The transcript has 5 exons.
UGGGCCUCCGUGGCGCUCGGUGCUGGUCUUCGCCUCCCGCCUGCCUGGCCCCUGGAAACCGACCCUACGCGCAAGCGCUGUGAGAGACAACUCCGACCCGCCCCUCUUGCGGGGGCUCUACGGUGACAAUUGGUCUCCAGCCCGCGGCUAGAGUGCUGGGCGCGUCAGCCGCUGAGUACACCUUUCCCCGGCCUGUGAAGGGUUCUUCGCCGCAGCGCGGAGUUCCUUUGCCGGAUUGGGGGCCUGGGGGGCGUUUGAGUCGUUCACCAGGGACCUUGAGGGCUGAGGUGCGGCUUCUCAGCGGACUUUGGCUCUCGGUCCCCUCGCCGUCCACGCCGGCACCUGGACGCCUGCCCAGCUGCACGCGCGCCCUCGGAGGCCCCUCUUAGGAACGCUUUUCCUGGGCAGAUAAGCACUCUUCCGGCCAGCGGCGCAUUUCGACUCUCCCGCGGAAUCUGGACUAAAGCCGGCCGGACUAUAGAUAAACAGCUCUGUGGUGAGGGGCAGCUUCUGGAUCAGAGAUCUGCAAUAGUCGCACCGAAAAACUGAAUUAACUCUGAUUUUUCGACUCUUAGCCAGUAUCUCGGCGAGGAAAUUCCCAGACUCAGUGGUGGAAUAAGCUUGGCCAUCUCGUAGAAUUCCAGGAAACAGUUCCCUCAGCAGACAACUGCUCCCUCUCAUGAGUGCAAGUAGUGGAGUGGAGGUGGCAGUAUGCCCAGCAAAAGCAGUGCAUCUCUCAAGCUUCCCACAUGGUGUCCAUGUGACCAAAUUUUGGCUAAUGAGACUCUUAGUUCCCCGACCAGGGAUUGAACCCGUGCCCCCUGAAGUGGAAGUGUGGAAUCCUAACCACUGGAUCUCCAGGGAAUUCCCUCUAAAAGUGAUAUUUUCUAAUUGUUGUCGCUGGAACUAUGGUAUAAUACUGAACAGAAACUUAAGCAAAAGGCCCAAAACAUAAACAAAAAAAGAUUGAUACAUUUUAUUUUGUUAAAAUUAAGAGAUUUUGUUCAGCAGAAGACACUAUAAAGAAAAUGAAAAGAGAAGCCACAUUCUGGAAGAAGAUAUCUACUAUAGUUAUUACCAGGGACACCUAAAAACCAAUAAGUAAACAACAAUAGUCAAAUGGAAAAAAAUAGGUAAAAUACAUUACAGAUAUUAUACUGAAGAAGAUUCAUGAUUGGCCAGUAAAAUAUGACAUUAUAUUCAAUUGUAUUAAUAAUUAGAAAAUGAAAAUUUAGGGCACACAAGGAUUUUUUUUUUCUUUUUUUUUUUUUGUGGUACGCGGGCCUCUCACUGUUGUGGCCUCUCCUGUUGCAGAGCACAGGCUCCGGACGCGCAGGCUCAGUGGCCACGGCUCACGGGCCCAGCCACUCUGCGGCAUGUGGGAUCUUCCCGGACCGGGGCACGAACCCGUGUCCCCUGCAUCGGCAGGCGGAUUCUCAACCACUGCGCCACCAGGGAAGCCCAAACACAAGGCAUUUUUAAACUCACUGGCAAAAUUUUAAAAUUGUACAAUACCAAUUUAGAGUAUGAGCAAUUGGAGCUCUCAAACACUUGAUAAUAGUGGCAGUGAAAAUUGAUAAAAUCACAUUGGAAACAAAGUAAAGAUGAAGAUUAGCAAAUUCCAUGACUCUGCAAUUCCACUCCUGAACAUAUAACCUAGCCUGCAGGACCUAGAGAAAUCUCUGUAAGUGCCUCAGGAGAUAGGUGCAAGAAUAUUCAGAGAAAAAAUAUUUAUAAUAGCACAACGACAACAAGGAGAAACUAGAAACCGCUCAAAUAUCAAUCAAGAGAAUGGAUAAAUUGUGGCAUAUUCUCAUAGAGAAAUACUGCACAGCAUUGAAAAUUAAUGAACUACAUGGAAUUGAUCACAGAAUCAUAAUAUUGAGUGAAAAAACAAAUGGCAGAAGAAUAUUAAAAUAUUCAACCAUUUAUAUAAAGUUCUUAUGGUUUAGGAAUUUGCACAAAUGUCUUAAAACUAUAAGGAAAGCAAGGAUAUAGGAUUACCACUCUUUACACUGGGGUGGGAGAGAUUAGAAAUGGAAUUAGAAAAGGACAUAAAAGGACCUUCAAUUUUGCCUUUGAAAUCAAUUUCUCAAGUUCUCCUUGGUGGUCAUUUUAUUAUUAUGCUUAAUAAUUUAUGUAUUAAAUUAUUUUGAAAAAAAUUUAGACAUUCAGAAAAAUUGUAAAAUUUCUACAGAGCAUUCCUGAAUGCCCUCCGUCCAGCUUCCCCUAAUGUUAAUCUCUUGUAUAACCAAAAUACAAUUAUCAGAACUAAGAAAUUAAAUCGCUCAAUACUAUUAAAUAAACUACAGACUUUAUUUGUGUGGUAGGCAGAAUUCUAGAGGUUUUUCCCACCAACAAUAUUCCCAUUUCCUGGUUUUGUAAACACUAAUUGUGGGUACUGCUUGGAAGGGAUUUUGCAGAUGUAAUUAAAGUUCCACAUUAGCUGACUUUAGAAAACGGAGAUUACCUGACUCAGAUAACAGCCCUUAAAAGCAGAAGCUUUCUCUGGCUGAUGGCAGAAGAGGAAGGCAGAAGGAGAAGUCAGAGAGAUUCAAAAUAUGAGAAGGACUAGCCUCACCAGUGCUGCUUUGAAAAUGGAGGGGGCCACCUAAGAAGGAACACAGACAGCCUCAAGAAUCCCUGGCUGACAGCCAGCAAGGAAACAGGGAUCUUGGAUCUACAUUCAUGAGGAACUGGAUUCUUACAACGACAUAAAAGAGCUUGGAAGCUGACUCUUCCCAGACAGUCCAGAUAAAAGCCUCAGCUGGCCAAUUCCUUAACUUGGGCAUUGUGAGACUAAGGAGAGACCCAGUCAAGCCCAUGUGGACUUCUGAUCUACAGAACUUUGAGAUAACAAAUGUGUAUUCUUUUAAGCUUCUAAAUUUGCACAUGGUAAUUUGUUACACAACAACAGAAAACAAAUAUCAUUUGUAUUUUGUCCAUUUAUCCACUAAUCUCCCUUUUCUGUUGCAGGAUCUCACAUUGCAUUUAGUUGUCAGUGUCUCAUUAGUAACCUCCAAUCUGUAACAUUUCAUCAGUCUUUGUCUUUCAUGAUACAGACAAUCUUGAAGAGUGCAACAAAGAAAAAAUAUUUUGUUGAAUUUCAAGUUUGUCUAGUGUUUUCUUGGGAUUAGAUUGAGUUAUGUAUUUCUGGCCAAAAUACCAUAGGAGCAAUGUAACCUUGUCAGUGCAGUCUAUCAGGAGUUCAUGUCAACAUGUCAUAUUACUGUUAAUUUUAACCUUGAUUGCUUAGCUAAGAUGGUAUCUGCUGGGUUUCUUUAUUGCAAAAUUACUAUUUUUCUCUUUAUAAUUAACAAAUAUCUCAGGGGAGAUACUUUUAGACUAUGCCAUCCUAUCCUUAAAAUUUUGCUCACUAAUUUUAGCAUCCAUUGGUGGAUCUUGUCUGCAGCAAUUAUUCUAACGAUGGUUUUCUAUUUCCCAUAUUCUGUCUAUGCGUGUUAAUUAGAAUUCAUCUGUAAGGAAGAGCUAUCCCUUUUCCUUCACUUAUUUGUUUCUUCAACUAUUUAUUUGUAUCAGUAUUGGCUCAUGGUUAUUUUACUUUAUGGGUUAUACAAUACUAUUGUUACUUAUUUUGUUGCUCAAACUAUUUCCCUUUUGGUCACUGGGAGAUCUUUCAGUAGACUCCUGUGCCCUUUUGGCAUGUCCCUAUCAUUUUAUAAGUACUUCUUUACUUUUUAGCGCCUCAAGAUACUCUAGGCUCAUUUAGUAUUUUUGCUUCUGCAGCCCUGGAAACAAUGACUUCUCUGAGGAGUCCUGGUUCUUUUUACUGGGGAACAGUAUUUAAAAACUAAAAUGUGGGCAUAAGUUAAUGACGUGUCAUUGUUUGGCCUUCUCAGCAGGUAAAGCUUGGAAAUAUAAGUAUAUAUACCUACCCAUGCCUACACACACAUAUCUAUAUUUAAUUCUGCUAUAUUGUAUGUUAUAGAAUAGAACCAGUCCUCUGUAAGGAGGAUCUUCUUAUCUUAAUAAGAGUGGAGGGAAAGGUGCCCAACCAAAUGUGGGUACUCAGCAGAAUAUUCAAAGUAUUUUGUGAAAAGGUGUUGAGAGAAGGCAUACCUUACUUGCCAGUAGUCUACUGAUCUGAACCCUGACAUAGUCACUCCCCCUCCACUAUACCCACCAAGUAGUUGAAAGGUGAAAUGAGAAUAUAAACCACUGAUAUCUAGCCCUCUAGCUGAAUCAAAAGCAAAAAAAAAAAAAAAUUCAAUAAUUCACAGGUAAGUGGAGAGAUUUAUGAUCUCUCAAUGACUCACACUAUUCUUUAGUAAAUUUAAGAUCAGAAUAGAACUACCAUCACUCAAAAAUAAGGUACCCUUCCCUGCCCUACACAGACAAGGAAAAACAAUUCUAGCAGAA